AAAGUNGUACAGGUUUCCGUAGGUGACCUGCGGAGGAUCAUUA
Molecule: ribosomal RNA, 43 nt
Filed under: Zoanthus sansibaricus
Lineage: Eukaryota; Metazoa; Cnidaria; Anthozoa; Zoantharia; Zoanthidae
Description: partial 18S ribosomal RNA
Source: RNAcentral